Molecule: ribosomal RNA, 253 nt
Filed under: uncultured bacterium
Lineage: Bacteria
Description: partial 16S ribosomal RNA
Rfam family: Bacterial small subunit ribosomal RNA
Source: RNAcentral
UACAGAGGGGGCAAGCGUUGUUCGGAAUUACUGGGCGUAAAGGGCGCGUAGGCGGCCCACUAAGUCGAACGUGAAAUCCCUGGGCUCAACCCAGGAACUGCGUCCGAUACUGGUGGGCUCGAAUCCGGGAGAGGGAUGUGGAAUUCCAGGUGUAGCGGUGAAAUGCGUAGAUAUCUGGAGGAACACCGGUGGCGAAGGCGACAUCCUGGACCGGUAUUGACGCUGAGGCGCGAAAGCCAGGGGAGCAAACGGG